RNAcentral lists this ribosomal RNA (239 nucleotides) under uncultured euryarchaeote. Its description in RNAcentral is "partial 16S ribosomal RNA". It matches the Rfam family "Archaeal small subunit ribosomal RNA", at positions 752 to 999 of the family's 1478-position model. The record is from RNAcentral. Lineage: Archaea; Methanobacteriati; Methanobacteriota.
AGAGUAAAUCUGUUGGCGCUUUCCUAUAUGAAUGGGCAGGACCGUAGGGAAACUGAUAAUUCUACCGCCGGGGGAGUACGGCCCCAAGGUUAAAACUUAAAGAAUUUGGGGGGGAACCCCACCAGGGGUGAAUGCUGCGGUUUAAUUGAAUCCAACGUCCGAAACCUUACCGGGAGCGACGGCAGAAUGAAGGUCAAACUAAAGAUCUUACCCAACAAGCCGAGAGGAGGUGCAUGGCA